CUACGGGUCGCACCAGUGAGGAAUUUUGCGCAAUGGGGGUAACCCUGACGCAGCAACGCCGCGUGAGUGAUGAAGGCUUUCGGGUCGUAAAGCUCUGUCAAGUGGGAAGAAUAUACGAAAUGCUAAUACCAUUUUGUACUGACGGUACCACUGAAGGAAGCACCGGCUAACUCCGUGCCAGCAGCCGCGGUAAUACGGGGGGUGCAAGCGUUAUUCGGAAUUAUUGGGCGUAAAGAGCACGUAGGCGGCCGCUUAAGUCAGAUGUGAAAGCCCGGGGCUCAACCCCGGAAGUGCAUUUGAAACUAAGUGGCUUGAGUAUGGGAGAGGGAAGUGGAAUUCCUGGUGUAGAGGUGAAAUUCGUAGAUAUCAGGAGGAACACCGGUGGCGAAGGCGACUUCCUGGACCAAUACUGACGCUGAGGUGCGAAGGCGUGGGGAGCAAACAGGAUUAGAUACCCCCGUAGUC
This 465-nucleotide ribosomal RNA is filed under the name uncultured bacterium. RNAcentral describes it as "partial 16S ribosomal RNA". It matches the Rfam family "Bacterial small subunit ribosomal RNA", at positions 339 to 795 of the family's 1533-position model. The record is from RNAcentral.